RNAcentral lists this ribosomal RNA (232 nucleotides) under uncultured bacterium. Its description in RNAcentral is "partial 16S ribosomal RNA". It matches the Rfam family "Bacterial small subunit ribosomal RNA", at positions 118 to 350 of the family's 1533-position model. The record is from RNAcentral.
UGGGCAACUUGCCCUCAGCUCUGGGAUAACCCCGGGAAGCCGGGGCUAAUACCGGAUACGACCUCCACGGGCAUCUGUGGAGGUGGAAAGGGUUUUCCGGCUGAGGAUGGGCCCGCGGCCUAUCAGCUUGUUGGUGGGGUGACGGCCCACCAAGGCGACGACGGGUAGCCGGCCUGAGAGGGCGACCGGCCACACUGGGACUGAGACACGGCCCAGACUCCUACGGGAGGCA